GAUGAGCGCUGGCGGCGUGCUUAACACAUGCAAGUCGAACGGAAAGGCCAGUGCUUGCACUGGUACUCGAGUGGCGAACGGGUGAGUAACACGUGGGUGAUCUGCCCUGCACUUCGGGAUAAGCCUGGGAAACUGGGUCUAAUACCGGAUAGGACAAUGGUUUGGAUGCCGUUGUGGAAAGUUUUUUCGGUGUGGGAUGAGCUCGCGGCCUAUCAGCUUGUUGGUGGGGUAAUGGCCUACCAAGGCGUCGACGGGUAGCCGGCCUGAGAGGGUGUACGGCCACAUUGGGACUGAGAUACGGCCCAGACUCCUACGGGAGGCAGCAGUGGGGAAUAUUGCACAAUGGGCGCAAGCCUGAUGCAGCGACGCCGCGUGGGGGAUGACGGCCUUCGGGUUGUAAACUCCUUUCGCUAGGGACGAAGCGUAUUUGUGACGGUACCUGGAGAAGAAGCACCGGCUAACUACGUG
This 468-nucleotide ribosomal RNA is filed under the name uncultured bacterium. RNAcentral's name for it is "partial 16S ribosomal RNA". It matches the Rfam family "Bacterial small subunit ribosomal RNA", at positions 28 to 507 of the family's 1533-position model. The record is from RNAcentral.